ACGCUAUCGGCACCACCACCAUUAUCACGAUUACCGGCACCAUGGUUGCUGGGGUGGGCUGAUACGCAAAAAGAAUUGCAGGAAAAAGCCCACAUCCACCCGAUGUGGGCUUUUUUUUG
Regulatory RNA element from Photobacterium aphoticum, 119 nucleotides. The record is from Rfam. Lineage: Bacteria; Pseudomonadati; Pseudomonadota; Gammaproteobacteria; Vibrionales; Vibrionaceae.